This 93-nucleotide transfer RNA is filed under the name Felis catus (domestic cat). It matches the Rfam family "tRNA". Rfam says of the family: Transfer RNA (tRNA) molecules are approximately 80 nucleotides in length. Their secondary structure includes four short double-helical elements and three loops (D, anti-codon, and T loops). Lineage: Eukaryota; Metazoa; Chordata; Mammalia; Carnivora; Felidae. The record is from Rfam by way of RNAcentral.
GCCUGGUUGGCUCAUUUGGUUGAGCAUCUGACUUCGGUUCACGUCAUGAUCUCAUGAUCUCACAGGUCAUGAGUUCGAGCCCCACAUCAGGCC